UCCUACGGGAGGCAGCAGUGGGGAAUAUUGGACAAAGGGGGGAACCCUGAUCCAGCCAUGCCGCGUGGUGAAGAAGGCCCUUAUGGGUGUAAAGCUCUUUAAGCGAGGAGGAGGCUACUGAGACUAAUAAUCUUAGAUAGUGGACGUACUCGCAGAGAGACCAGUGUCCCC
RNAcentral lists this ribosomal RNA (171 nucleotides) under Acinetobacter junii. Its description in RNAcentral is "partial 16S ribosomal RNA". It matches the Rfam family "Bacterial small subunit ribosomal RNA", at positions 337 to 500 of the family's 1533-position model. Lineage: Bacteria; Pseudomonadati; Pseudomonadota; Gammaproteobacteria; Moraxellales; Moraxellaceae. The record is from RNAcentral.